This 567-nucleotide ribosomal RNA is filed under the name uncultured bacterium. RNAcentral describes it as "partial 16S ribosomal RNA". It matches the Rfam family "Bacterial small subunit ribosomal RNA", at positions 355 to 911 of the family's 1533-position model. The record is from RNAcentral.
UGGGGAAUAUUGGACAAUGGGCGCAAGCCUGAUCCAGCAAUGCCGCGUGUGUGAAGAAGGCCUUCGGGUUGUAAAGCACUUUUAUCAGGAGCGAAACGCUGUCGGCUAAUACCCGGCGGAACUGACGGUACCUGAGGAAUAAGCACCGGCUAACUUCGUGCCAGCAGCCGCGGUAAUACGAAGGGUGCAAGCGUUAAUCGGAAUUACUGGGCGUAAAGCGUGCGUAGGCGGUUUCUUAAGUCCGCUGUGAAAUCCCCGGGCUCAACCUGGGAAUGGCAGUGGAUACUGGGAGGCUAGAGUGUGUCAGAGGGUGGUGGAAUUCCCGGUGUAGCGGUGAAAUGCGUAGAGAUCGGGAGGAACAUCAGUGGCGAAGGCGGCCACCUGGGACAACACUGACGCUGAGGCACGAAAGCGUGGGGAGCAAACAGGAUUAGAUACCCUGGUAGUCCACGCCCUAAAAGCGAUGCGAACUGGAUGUUGGUCUCAACUCGGAGAUCAGUGUCGAAGCUAACGCGUUAAGUUCGCCGCCUGGGGAGUACGGUCGCAAGACUGAAACUUAAAUGAAUU